Molecule: long non-coding RNA, 615 nt
Filed under: Nicotiana benthamiana
Lineage: Eukaryota; Viridiplantae; Streptophyta; Magnoliopsida; Solanales; Solanaceae
Description: long non-coding RNA (NBEN_LNC006407)
Source: RNAcentral
CUUGAGAAAAUGACCACAGCUUUCACUUUACCCCUUCCCUCUCGUUCUUCAACUUAUUCAAUACACACAAAACAGAGAAAUCUCACUCCCUCUCCAUCUUCAUUUUCUUGAAACGCACACUAAACCAUCGAGGAAAAUGGGAAGAAGAAAAGAAUAAUGGUUUUGAGGAAUUUUCUUUGAGGCUUUUCAAUCUCUUUCACUCAUCUUCAUAUUCUUCAAAGGAAAAAUUAAAGAAAAACGCAACAAAAAAACAACAGAAAAAAAAUAUGUUCAUUUUCAUUUUGAAUUUCGGCUUAAAAAUGGAUUUCGGGCACUGCUGUUGAUGCUGAAUUUCUGCUAAGUUUCGGUUGAGUUUGCUCAUGCCUUAAUCGAUUUAUUCCAACUAUUUUCCUUGAGCCAUCCAGGUUAGUUGGAAAUUUCUAUUUAAUAUUUUAGUAAAUGGUUGAACUGAGUUAGUUUGGGUUGAUGUUUAGUUGUUUGUGAUAUUUUAAGGAUUGGAUAUUUCAAUUCUGGAAUGAUUUGAAGUAAAGCUAGGAAAUCUGUUUUGCUCAUUUCUGGAUUUAUUUUGGUUAAUUGUGAUUUAGUGAAAUGGGUAUAUAUAAUGUGGGACGGAAC